RNAcentral lists this long non-coding RNA (2261 nucleotides) under Ananas comosus (pineapple). RNAcentral describes it as "long non-coding RNA (ACOM_LNC000771)". The record is from RNAcentral. Lineage: Eukaryota; Viridiplantae; Streptophyta; Magnoliopsida; Poales; Bromeliaceae.
AAUAAACACUUUCCACAUUAGCUCUCUCUAUAUUUCAAAAAACCUCUCUCUCUCUCUCUCUCUCUCUCUCUCUCUCUCUCUCCAUCUCUGAGCUCUUCACCACAUGGCGUCGUCUUCUUUCUCCUCCUCCGCACAAACCUUUCUCCCAGCAAAUCCCUCUCCCUAACCUACCUAAUCGACUCUUGCGGCUUGUUCCCCGAAUCCGCCAUUUCCGCGUCCUAGAAGCUCCGCUUCAAGAGCACCGAUCGCGAGCUUCGAGCUCGAUCUCACUCUCGAUCUCUCUCCCUUUCCCUUUUUUUUUCAAAUCGGAGCUUCUCCACCGCGAGCUUCGAGUCUCUCUCCCUCAAAUCGGAGCUUCUCCACCGCGAGCUUCGAGAGAUUAGGACGCUCUCCACCACGAGCUCGAGCCCCAUCUCCGGACGAUUUCUUACUUGGAUCUAACGAUUCCACGAUCGGGAGAGGUGCGCUAUUGAUUUUUCUUUCAUUUUUGGCAUUGAUCUUACAGUGUUAGUGCAAUUUGAUCUCGAAUGGCUUCUCUAUUAAGCCGAAGUGUUCGUAAUCGGGGGUUUCAUGAGUUAAUUUUUGGAUUCGCUUGCGAUUUGUGUGUUAAAUCAGUUUCACUGUAUUACUUUGAAGAACUAGUGUGAUAUUCCCUUGACUAAUUUACAUUAGUUCUCUCUAUUUUCUUCACUUGCUGUUCCAUGUUUAUUUUUCUCUACUAAAACCCCUUAGAUAAGGAGUUGUGCAUGAUUGGAGAGAUUAUAAUUAUUUGGGUUGCAGAUUUAGCAUUUCUCUUACAUUAAUACAUUGCGCUAACUAUAUGGUAUAAUUUGAGUAUUAAUAACUUAUAUCAGGUUCAGAUUCAGAACCUUUAUUGGUCCGAAUUGGAUCUGAUCCAUUUUAUAGCUUAUUGGUAUGGAAAAAAUAUAUAUAUUAUUAUUUCUGUUGUAGUAGAGAGCAAAAAUAAAUUUAUAUCCCUCCAAUUAAGUAUUUCUAAUGUCGCAACAAAAUUAAACUCUUAUUAGAAGUAUUUCACUGUUUUAAAAUAAUGAGAGCUGUUUAAACAGUACUUUAUGAAUUACCAAUAUACAUUAUAGAAUUGAUCGUUAAAUUAGAUAUUACAAGACAUUUUAGCAAAUAACAGUGACAACUUAAGGCAAAAAAACUGAUUAACAACAACUAAAGAAAAAUGGAUCCAAAGAAGAGGAAAGGCAUGUUGCUUGUUUGCAACAGAUAACUUUGGGAAGAUUUUCAGCAGUUUUAUGUUCUAAAGAGGACACGUUCGGCGUUCGAUUAUGAUCAUAUUAGAAAGAUAGUGAUAUUUAGAGUUUGAGUAAAAAUGACAAAAUGGGUCGGUGGUUAACAAAGAAGGGAAUAAGCAUUUUCCAUAAUUCUUCUAAGUAAAGACAAGAAUAAGUAGCACGAUAUGUUUCAAUUCUUACGUACGAUCUAUUGAUAUGUUAAAGAGUCUAUAUCGCCUCUAGAAAAACAGCUAAGUGCUUCGAACUUAUUUGAACUUUUCGGUUUACUUAUCAAGCGAUCCAAGUAAUGAUUUUCUACUUCAAGUCUCAAGUCCUUAGAGCUUUAAUGUCUGUCAUUAAUGGCACCUGUUCUAAAUUCUCUUACUAUUUCUAAGAAGGAAAAUUAGAAAAUAAGUAUAACGUUUUAAUUGGAGAUAAUUUGUUGGUUCCAGAUGACAUUUCACAAGUUACUACUGCUUCAUGUUACAUCUGACUGGUUUUGAUGGUUGUUAAAAUGUCAUGGGAAUAAUAUGCCGUUAUUUUUCUUACUCUGUAUAGCACCAAUUAGUUUGAUUACACUUCUUUAGGUUUUGUCUCAAACUAUAGCAACUACCAUUUUGUUCUUUUUAAAAGCAGAUUUUUCAUCUGUUUCAAGAAAGGAACAUAGCAAACAAGAAAUGAUUUAUAAAUCCGAUUUGUUUGCAAAGUUAAGAUUUUUUUUUUUUUAGAUGUUGAGGUUGGAAAUAAGCAUGGAUAAUUCAAUAUAAUCUUAUGAUAGGUGUUUGGAGGAGAUUUGACCGAUCUAGUGCGCUUAAAUUGUCAGAUUUUAAUGGCUAUUAUAAGAUGAAUUUGAACCCACAUGAUCACCAGGCAAAUUAUAUCGUAAUACUGUGAAAUUUGGUUUCUGAGAAGUUCAAAUAGUUUAGAUCUUGUUCAACUGAAUUGAUUGACGCCCCACUGUUGAAAACAACGUGUAAGUAAAUGACUACGUUUACUUUUAGGAGUAUUCUAGCCUAGCUC